This 547-nucleotide ribosomal RNA is filed under the name uncultured bacterium. RNAcentral's name for it is "bacterial SSU rRNA". It matches the Rfam family "Bacterial small subunit ribosomal RNA", at positions 77 to 657 of the family's 1533-position model. The record is from RNAcentral.
AAGAGAUAGCAAUACUUAGUGGCAGACGGGUGGAGUAACAUGUAGGUAUCUACCCUUUGGCCUGGAAUAACACGAGGAAACUUGUGCUAAUACCGGGAUAAGUCUUUACGGGAGAAGCUUUAUGCACCAUUGGAUGAGCCUGCACUUGAUUAGUUUGUUGGUGGGGUAAUGGCCUACCAAGACUGUGAUCAAUAGCUGAUUUGAGGGGAUGAUCAGCCACAUUGGGACUGAGACACGGCCCAAACUCCUACGGNAGGCAGCAGUGGGGAAUCUUGCACAAUGGAGGAAACUCUGAUGCAGCGAUGCCGCGUGAGUGAAGAAGGCCUUUGGGUUGUAAAGCUCUUUCGUCGGGGAAGNACAUGACUGUACCCGAAAUAAGAGGUCCGGCUAACUUCGUGCCACCCGCCGCGGUAAUACGAAGGGACCUAGCGUAGUUCGGAAUUACUGGGCUUAAAGAGUUCGUAGGUGGUUGAAAAAUUGGUGGUGAAAAUCCCAGAGCUUAACUCUGGAACUGCCAUCAAACUUUUCAGCUAGAGUAUGAUAGAGC